UGUCAUGGCGGCUGUGCGCGGGAGAUCUUCGGAUCUGCCGGGUUCCUAGAGUCCUGGUCUGCGAACCCGCGUACAGCUGCCACCUUU
Molecule: non-coding RNA, 87 nt
Organism: Pseudomonas sp. VI4.1
Lineage: Bacteria; Pseudomonadati; Pseudomonadota; Gammaproteobacteria; Pseudomonadales; Pseudomonadaceae
Source: Rfam